AGGUACCACGCCGGACACUCCGCCUCCUCCGCGCCGUCCGCACCUACCUGGCGACUGCUCGCUACGUUCUGGUAACC
This 77-nucleotide small RNA is filed under the name Xanthomonas dyei. Its description in RNAcentral is "sX9 sRNA". It matches the Rfam family "Xanthomonas sRNA sX9". Lineage: Bacteria; Pseudomonadati; Pseudomonadota; Gammaproteobacteria; Lysobacterales; Lysobacteraceae. The record is from RNAcentral.